AAAUGGCCGCAGUAUUUUAACUGUGCAAAGGUAGCAUAAUCAUUAGUCUUUUAAUUGAAGGCUUGUAUGAAUGGUUGGACGAAAUAUUAACUGUUUCAUAAAAAUUGAUUUAGAAUUUUAUUUUUUAGUCAAAAAGCUAAAAUUUAUUUAAAAGACGAGAAGACCCUAUAGAUCUUUAUAUUUUAUAUAUUAUAAUUAUGUAGAUUAUUUAGGUUAUGAUUAUAUAAGGUAUUUUGUUGGGGUGACAUUAAAAUUUAAUUAACUUUUAAUUAAUAUUUACAUUAAUUUAUGAUUAAUUGAUCCACUAUUAGUGAUUAGAAAAUUAAGUUACCUUAGGGAUAACAGCGUAAUUUUUUUGAAGAGUUCAUAUCGAUAAAAAAGAUUGCGACCUCGAUGUUGGAUUAAGAUAUAAUUUUGGGUGCAGCAAUUCAAAUAUUAAGUC
RNAcentral lists this ribosomal RNA (442 nucleotides) under Chromolepida pruinosa. Its description in RNAcentral is "partial 16S ribosomal RNA". It matches the Rfam family "Bacterial large subunit ribosomal RNA", at positions 1925 to 2577 of the family's 2925-position model. Lineage: Eukaryota; Metazoa; Arthropoda; Insecta; Diptera; Therevidae. The record is from RNAcentral.